CGGUGGAGUAUGUGGUUUAAUUCGAUGCAACGCGAAGAACCUUACCUAGGUUUGACAUCCGAAGACCUUCCGAAAAGGAAGGGUGCCCUUCGGGGAAUUCCGAGACAGGUGCUGCAUGGCUGUCGUCAGCUCGUGCCGUGAGGUGUUGGGUUAAGUCCCGCAACGAGCGCAACCCUAUUGCCAGUUGCUACCAGGUAAUGCUGGGCACUCUGGUGAGACUGCCCCGGUUAACGGGGAGGAAGGUGGGGACGACGUCAAGUCAUCAUGGCCCUUACGCCUAGGGCUACACACGUACUACAAUGGCGCAUACAAAGGGCAGCGAUACCGCGAGGUGGAGCCAAUCCCAAAAAGUGCGUCCCAGUCCGGAUUGCAGUCUGCAACUCGACUGCAUGAAGUUGGAAUCGCUAGUAAUUCGAGAUCAGCAUGCUCGGGUGAAUGCGUUCCCGGGCCUU
Molecule: ribosomal RNA, 452 nt
Filed under: uncultured Desulfovibrio sp.
Lineage: Bacteria; Pseudomonadati; Thermodesulfobacteriota; Desulfovibrionia; Desulfovibrionales; Desulfovibrionaceae
Description: bacterial SSU rRNA
Rfam family: Bacterial small subunit ribosomal RNA
Source: RNAcentral